RNAcentral lists this ribosomal RNA (887 nucleotides) under uncultured bacterium. RNAcentral's name for it is "bacterial SSU rRNA". It matches the Rfam family "Bacterial small subunit ribosomal RNA", at positions 505 to 1397 of the family's 1533-position model. The record is from RNAcentral.
GUGCCAGCAGCCGCGGUAAUACGGAGGAUGCGACGUUAUCCGGAUUCAUUGGGUUUAAAGGGUGCGCAGGCGGCCUCCAAGUCAGCGGUCAAAGUUCCGGGCUCAACCCGGUGCCGCCGUUGAAACUGGGGUGCUUGAGCAGGUGCGACGGAGGCGGAAUGCGUGGUGUACGGUGAAUGCAUAGAUAUCACGCAGAACCCCGAUUGCGAAGGCAGCUUCCGACACCCGUCUGACGCUGAGGCACGAAAGCGUGGGUAUCGAACAGGAUUAGAUACCCUGGUAGUCCACGCGGUAAACGAUGAAUACUGGUUAUCCGGUCCGUUUCUGGUCUGGGUGACUCAAGCGAAACAUUAAGUAUUCCACCUGGGGAGUACGCCGGCAACGGUGAAACUCAAAGGAAUUGACGGGGGCCCGCACAAGCGGAGGAACAUGUGGUUUAAUUCGAUGAUACGCGAGGAACCUUACCCGGGCUCAAACGCGCAGAGACAGUCGCGGAAACGCAUCUCCCCUCGGGGCCCUGUGCGAGGUGCUGCAUGGUUGUCGUCAGCUCGUGCCGUGAGGUGUCGGCUUAAGUGCCAUAACGAGCGCAACCCCCAUCUCCAGUUGCCACCGCGUUAUGGCGGGCACUCUGGAGAGACUGCCGGCGCAAGCUGUGAGGAAGGCGGGGAUGACGUCAAAUCAGCACGGCCCUUACGUCCGGGGCGACACACGUGUUACAAUGGCGGGGCACAGAAGGAAGCCAGGCUGCGAGGCCGAGCCGAUCCCGAAAACCCGUCUCAGUUCGGAUCGGAGUCUGCAACCCGACUCCGUGAAGCUGGAUUCGCUAGUAAUCGCGCAUCAGCCAUGGCGCGGUGAAUACGUUCCCGGGCCUUGUACACACCGCCCGU